AUCCUCGUGCAGGGGUGCGUGGUAUCGACAGUGAGGUUCACUACCGAGUCAUACCUGUUGCUAGUUGCAAACUAAAUCCCAACCCGUGGUUGUGCCUUUGGGCCUUCCCAAUUUUUGGAUGACCUGAGGA
Molecule: small nuclear RNA, 130 nt
Filed under: Calocera viscosa TUFC12733
Lineage: Eukaryota; Fungi; Basidiomycota; Dacrymycetes; Dacrymycetales; Dacrymycetaceae
Description: U4 spliceosomal RNA
Rfam family: U4 spliceosomal RNA
About the family: U4 small nuclear RNA (U4 snRNA) is a component of the major U2-dependent spliceosome.
Source: Rfam by way of RNAcentral